UACGGAGGGUGCAAGCGUUAUCCGGAUUCACUGGGUUUAAAGGGUGCGUAGGAGGGCAGGUAAGUCAGUGGUGAAAUCUCCGAGCUUAACUUGGAACUGCCGUUGAUACUAUCUGUCUUGAAUACCGUGGAGAUGAGCGGAAUAUGUCAUGUAGCGGUGAAAUGCUUAGAUAUGACAUAGAACACCAAUUGCGUAGGCAGCUUACUACACGAUCAUUGACGCUGAGGCACGAAAGCGUGGGGAGCAAACAGG
RNAcentral lists this ribosomal RNA (252 nucleotides) under uncultured bacterium. Its description in RNAcentral is "partial 16S ribosomal RNA". It matches the Rfam family "Bacterial small subunit ribosomal RNA", at positions 524 to 776 of the family's 1533-position model. The record is from RNAcentral.